This is a non-coding RNA of Arachis ipaensis, 365 nucleotides long. NCBI's taxonomy places the organism in Eukaryota, Viridiplantae, Streptophyta, Magnoliopsida, Fabales, Fabaceae. The record is from RefSeq and is a predicted model, not a curated record.
UGUUAGUACCGUUCUUUACUUAUAUGCCAAAUAAAAUAACACACUGUUGAAAUGUGGCAAUCCUUCAGAUUUUUGUACCUGUUUGCUACUCGGGCCAUUGGUGGUUAUGGGUGAUUGAUACAAGAAAGCGGAGAUUUCAUAUACUUGACCCGCUACACAAGAAAGCUCCAAGCGAUGAGAGAAAGCAGCUUAACAAAUUCACUGGAUAUGUAAUUUCAAGAUUGAGAGCAUAUGCCGGCGGGGAACCUCUGAAGAAAGACGAGAAGGAGAAGGAAAUUAAAGCAUCAUAUGUUAAAAUAUCAGGCCAAAAAUCAAGCUAUGACUGCGCUAUCUACGUUAUGAAGUGGCUUGAGUUAAUUGAGCCG